UAAUACAGAGGGUGCAAGCGUUAAUCGGAAUUACUGGGCGUAAAGCGCACGUAGGUGGUUUGGUAAGUCGGAUGUGAAAGCCCCGGGCUCAACCUGGGAAUUGCAUUCGAUACUGCCUGGCUAGAGUAUGGUAGAGGGGGGUAGAAUUCCCGGUGUAGCGGUGAAAUGCGUAGAUAUCGGGAGGAAUACCAGUGGCGAAGGCGGCCCCCUGGACCAAUACUGACACUGAGGUGCGAAAGCGUGGGUAGCAAACAGGAUUAGAUACCCUGGUAGUCCACGCCGUAAACGAUGUCAACUAGACGUUGGGGAGAUUAAACUCCUUAGUGUCGCAGCUAACGCGAUAAGUUGACCGCCUGGGGAGUACGGCCGCAAGGUUA
RNAcentral lists this ribosomal RNA (377 nucleotides) under uncultured bacterium. RNAcentral's name for it is "bacterial SSU rRNA". It matches the Rfam family "Bacterial small subunit ribosomal RNA", at positions 521 to 896 of the family's 1533-position model. The record is from RNAcentral.